CUCCAUCUCUCUGUGUGUGUGCGCCUCACUCUCUGUCUGUCUGUCUCUCUCUCUCUCUAUCGUCUUGUCUCUGCUAUCUCGCUGUGCACUUCUCUGUCUCUCUCCUCUUUCAGUGUCUCUUUGGUCUUUGUGUGUGUGUGUGCCCCUCUCUGUCUCUGCCUCCCUCUGUGUGUGCUUCUGCCUUUCUCUCUCUCCGUCGCUCCCUGUGACCGUCGACCCCCCACCCCCUCUGCACCGCCCCUCCCCCCGCCUUUUCCUCCAUCUCUCUUACUCUCUAUCCGAGCCUCUCCACCCGCUCAGCAGGGAGCGUUGUGAGUUUCUUUCGAACAAAGUUUAAAGAUCUCUGUUUGAACCCAAGCCAUCCGCAAUCAGACUGCAUUUCUAAUCCCCCCCCCCCGCCCUCUCUCUCUCACACACACACACACAGUCUGUCUCUUUCUCCCUUUCAGUCAAUCCCCUUCCUCUCUUGGUCCUACUCAAGCCUUUUCCCACCCCCGACUCUGCCUCGGCGAUGAGUCCGCUGUCUGGAUCCCUUUUCCCAGGCGUGGGCUGAGGACCCAGCGGUUCGGCAGCGGGGAUCAUCGCACCACGCUCCCGGACCCCUACAACCUCCUGUUCUCCAGCGGCCUCCAGCAUGACCACCGGGCUGGGAGCAGGCAUCCGGGCUGCCGGAGCGCUCGCUGCUCAGUGGCUCAGCCCUGCGCCGCCUUUGCCGGGAGCGGGGAUCCGAGGUGGGAGAAGGCCUCUUCGCCCGGCUCCUGGGCACAGCUACCUGCCUGAACAGCUGCCUGGCACCGAGCCUGCGCUCCCCGAGCACCCGGCCGCGGGUCCGCGACGCCUUCCGGGGCUGAGUAGCCGAAAACUAUCUCCUACUGCAAGGGUAAGGACUGCCUGCAAAAUCUGAGAUUGGGCUUUGAAAGACAUCAACCUUUGCUUGCGAGAGAUAAUGGUAACUGCAGAUGCUAGAGAAUGCGAGAUAACAAUGUGUGGAGCUGGAUGAACACAGCAGGCCAAGCAGCAUCUCAGGAGCACAAAAGCUGACAUUUCGGGCCUCGACCCUUCAUGCGAGAGAACGUAACGUUUUUAAAGAAGAAAUUGCCCCAGUCAAACAAGAAGUCAAAAUAUUAAAUGAUCUGGCCAGUCAAUUAUCUCCGCUUGAUGUCUCUUUCUCUCCAAAGAUUUCUCACCAGCUUGACGACCUAAAUAUGAGGUUGAAAUUUAUACAGCAGCAGGAGGUGAGGAGGCAGAGACUGCAACCCUGAGGUCACGGAGGGAAGGUAAAGAGGCUCUUACUUGGAGAUUGAGAAGCAGGAGAGGGCACAACCCAGAGGUUUGGGAGUGGAGAGAGGCUGCAAGUUGGAGGUCAAGGUGAGGAGAGGCACCAGUUGAUGUUGUAGAUUAAAUGUAAUACAGAAAAUUGUGAAGUUUGGUUCGAAAAACAGUACAUAAAACAGAAGGAACCAUUCUAAAUGGGUGCAGAAGCAGACCGGUUUUGCUGUUCUGUGCAUAAACCAUUCAGUUAAACCACAGCUAGUCUGAG
Stegostoma tigrinum is the source of this 1540-nucleotide long non-coding RNA. RefSeq lists it as uncharacterized. Lineage: Eukaryota; Metazoa; Chordata; Chondrichthyes; Orectolobiformes; Stegostomatidae. The record is from RefSeq and is a predicted model, not a curated record. The transcript is spliced from 4 exons.